RNAcentral lists this ribosomal RNA (205 nucleotides) under uncultured bacterium. RNAcentral's name for it is "partial 16S ribosomal RNA". It matches the Rfam family "Bacterial small subunit ribosomal RNA", at positions 568 to 774 of the family's 1533-position model. The record is from RNAcentral.
CUCGUAGGCGGCCAACUAAGUCAGACGUGAAAUCCCUCGGCUUAACCGGGAACUGCGUCUGAUACUGGAUGGCUUGAGGUUGGGAGAGGGAUGCGGAAUUCCAGGUGUAGCGGUGAAAUGCGUAGAUAUCUGGAGGAACACCGGUGGCGAAGGCGGCAUCCUGGACCAAAUCUGACGCUGAGGAGCGAAAGCCAGGGAGCAAACG